CCGCACGCGCGCGCUCCUGAUGAUUCACGAGUUUACAACCUUGGCCGAGAGGCCUGGGUAAUCUUGUAAACGUUCAUCGUGAUGGGGAUAGAUUCUUGCAAUUAUUAAUCUUCAACGAGGAAUUCCUAGUAAACGCAAGUCAUCAGCUUGCAUUGAUUACGUCCCUGCCCUUUGUACACACCGCCCGU
RNAcentral lists this ribosomal RNA (188 nucleotides) under uncultured eukaryote. Its description in RNAcentral is "partial 18S ribosomal RNA". It matches the Rfam family "Eukaryotic small subunit ribosomal RNA", at positions 1487 to 1676 of the family's 1831-position model. The record is from RNAcentral.